GCGCCUAUAGCUCAGUGGUAGAGCACUACUCUUAUAAAGUAGGAGUCCUUGGUUCGAUCCCAAGUAGGCGCA
RNAcentral lists this transfer RNA (72 nucleotides) under Candidatus Roizmanbacteria bacterium RIFCSPLOWO2_02_FULL_38_10. RNAcentral's name for it is "tRNA-Ile". It matches the Rfam family "tRNA". Rfam says of the family: Transfer RNA (tRNA) molecules are approximately 80 nucleotides in length. The record is from RNAcentral. Lineage: Bacteria; Candidatus Roizmaniibacteriota.